This 1035-nucleotide ribosomal RNA is filed under the name Triticum aestivum (bread wheat). RNAcentral describes it as "partial small subunit ribosomal RNA". The record is from RNAcentral. Lineage: Eukaryota; Viridiplantae; Streptophyta; Magnoliopsida; Poales; Poaceae.
AUGGGCACAGAGCCUUCCACACACAGCAACAGCCAAGCCAAGCCAAGGCUUGGACCGACGAUGAACCAACCGAAACGGCCCAGCAAGAUGCACCAGCAAAGGAAGGGCGCGGCGCCCCCAGGCCAAGGAGGGGGCGGCCCCACAUCGCUCGAGCCCUCGCUCGAUGACGCGUGGGCCCGCCUCCUCCAACUCCAACGGCCCCCAUCGCGCCUCCUCCCGCCCGCCGCGGUACGAGGCAGGCUGACAGGUGGGGGCCGCCACGCCGCCGGUAUAUAUACCGGUGUCGGUGUGCCCCCUCUGUCCAUCCUCCUCCCACCGCCACAUCUCCCCCAUCUGCCACGGAUCGCUCGCCGGAGACGCCCGCCGCCACAGAUCGCCCGCAGGAGACGCCCACCGCCCCUGAUCGCUCGCCGGAGGUGCCCACCGCCCCAGAUCGCUCGCAGGAGACGCCCACCACCACCGGUUGGACCUCCUGGUUAUCCAUGGCCGCCGUUCUCCGCGGUGCUCGCGCUGGCCGUGGCGGCCCUGGCCGCGCUCAGGGGAGGCAGAGGGGCGCCGCCGUGCAGCAGGCCCCGGCCCAGGCAGCAGCCCCCGUCCUCAACCCCAACCCCAACCCCAACAGGUGUAGAUCAGCAUUUAGCACUUUUUUGGACAACGGUGAUGGAGAACCUGAAAGAUCAGGAUCGGGAAGGCAUCAAAUUUUAUGAAUUCCUUCAAAAGUCCGCGUUAGUUGAUCCCAUGGAGUUGAUGAAGUUCGGUAUUUCGGAUGGUCUCGCUGCCCAGCGACCAGAGGAGGUUAUCAAGCUCAGAAGCGUGACUGAUGUGUUCAAUAACAUGAUGCCAAUCAGGCAAAGGUACCUGUAUAAAUACAUACAUGGUGAGCGGGGUAGUGGAGAGAUUACUAAGAUGGAGAAACGUUUGAGGAAGGGAGUAGAACUAUCUGAUCAGAAAAUACAGGAUAUCAGGGAUGGGAACGCAUUCUGCCCUCAACGGCCCAAGCUCUUCGACAACUACCCGAGGCCCCUUAAGAACUAA